This 275-nucleotide ribosomal RNA is filed under the name uncultured bacterium. Its description in RNAcentral is "partial 16S ribosomal RNA". It matches the Rfam family "Bacterial small subunit ribosomal RNA", at positions 338 to 627 of the family's 1533-position model. The record is from RNAcentral.
CCUACGGGGGGCUGCAGUGGGGAAUUUUCCGCAAUGGGCGAAAGCCUGACGGAGCAAGACCGCGUGAGGGAGGAAGGCUCUUGGGUUGUAAACCUCUUUUCUCAGGGAAGAAAAAAAUGACGGUACCUGAGGAAUCAGCCUCGGCUAACUCCGUGCCAGCAGCCGCGGUAAUACGGAGGAGGCAAGCGUUAUCCGGAAUUAUUGGGCGUAAAGCGUCCGCAGGUGGCCAUUCAAGUCUGCAGUUAAAGACCGGGGCUCAACUCCGGAGGGGCUGU